GUACUGCUGAAGAGUCCCAAACUAGGACGAAACACUUGUCCAGUAC
This 46-nucleotide non-coding RNA is filed under the name Trichobilharzia regenti. Lineage: Eukaryota; Metazoa; Platyhelminthes; Trematoda; Strigeidida; Schistosomatidae. The record is from RNAcentral.